CCAUGCCCAGCAUUAACCCCCCUCAACAACCACCUCCGCCUAUGAAGCCCGCCCGGUAGGCGACAUCAGCAAAGUGCCAACGCUGUAUAUAUAUAUAUUGAUCACGAGCUACCAUGCCAGCAUAGCCUCGUCCCCCGCUACCUGAAACUCUGUUGCACCCGAUGAUGAAAUCGGCAUGAACACACACACACACACAUAUUCACACAUACUGAGUGGUGGCGACGCUCUCGACGUUGAAAUUAACAUGAAACUACACACACACAUACACACUGCGUAAUCGCGACGUCCUCGUCUAGACUCGCUAUCUAGAACUAACGGGAUCAAAAGCACUGCUGCUUGCCCGUGCGUAUACAUUAAGAAUAAAGCUUUCAUCAUUCUUGAUCUUGACACCAAACCGAGCAGUUGAUUUAUUUAAAGUGCCUGGGCAGCAACUAACUAAGAGUAGAGAAAGGAGGACCCCCGAUCCAACGGAGGCACUCGUAACUGGCGCAGCCGGACUAGAACUAAAAGGAUUAACAACGCCUUUCACGUUCUUCGUUCCACUUCUGUAAACGGUCAAACAUUGGAGCCAACACUUACUUAGAAAGAAACAAACGGAUUCAUAUUAUAAAUACACACUACAUUUUAAGAUUAUCUAUAUAUAAGAUUACAAUUACUUAAUUACACCUUAUUAUUUAAGCUAAAACAUUAUUACACUAAACAUAUACACAACAUAUAGGUACACGUAUACAAAAGUAUAUAAGCACAAUAACACAUAUACCAUAUUUUUAAGUACAACACACAGACUACACAAAUCAAAAACACCUACAUGCCAAAGAGAAUUCCGAAACUGCACCUGGAGGCAUUGGCAACAACCGGGAAAAUGGACUACAUAACUCAACAAUACUUUACCGCUACGUACCUUGCAUGGAGCAUAGUACUAAUACUUGUGAUCUGUCUCCGAACCUGUAAAAGGCAGAAAACGAUUUUUACCCAGCAACCCACCCACACACCUCACGUUGUCGAGUCGGCUAUCCCUUCGUUAUGGCCAUCUCUCCACACUAGGGGGGGAGGAGUUACCAUGCCCAGCAUUAACCCCCCUCAACAACCACCUCCGCCUAUGAAGCCCGCCCGGUAGGCGACAUCAGCAAAGUGCCAACGCUGUAUAUAUAUAUAUUGAUCACGAGCUACCAUGCCAGCAUAGCCUCGUCCCCCGCUACCUGAAACUCUGUUGCACCCGAUGAUGAAAUCGGCAUGAACACACACACACACACAUAUUCACACAUACUGAGUGGUGGCGACGCUCUCGACGUUGAAAUUAACAUGAAACUACACACACACAUACACACUGCGUAAUCGCGACGUCCUCGUCUAGACUCGCUAUCUAGAACUAACGGGAUCAAAAGCACUGCUGCUUGCCCGUGCGUAUACAUUAAGAAUAAAGCUUUCAUCAUUCUUGAUCUUGACACCAAACCGAGCAGUUGAUUUAUUUAAAGUGCCUGGGCAGCAACUAACUAAGAGUAGAGAAAGGAGGACCCCCGAUCCAACGGAGGCACUCGUAACUCGCGCCAGAUCAGUUCGUCUGACGAUACCAAUAGUGAGGGAAGAGAAACUGCGAAUAAAACGAUCUUC
Long non-coding RNA from Drosophila sechellia, 1611 nucleotides. RefSeq lists it as uncharacterized. NCBI's taxonomy places the organism in Eukaryota, Metazoa, Arthropoda, Insecta, Diptera, Drosophilidae. The record is from RefSeq and is a predicted model, not a curated record. The transcript is spliced from 3 exons.